UAGGGAAUAUUGGUCAAUGGGCGAAAGCCUGAACCAGCCAUGCCGCGUGAGUGAUGAAGGCCUUCGGGUCGUAAAACUCUUUUCUGAGGGAAGAACAUCCGGGAUAGGAAAUGAUCUCGGCUUGACGGUACCUCAGGAAUAAGCAACGGCUAACUCCGUGCCAGCAGCCGCGGUAAUACGGAGGUUGCAAGCGUUGUUCGGAAUAACUGGGCGUAAAGGGAGCGCAGGCGGUUUGGUAAGUUCAAAGUGAAAGCCCGGGGCUUAACCUCGGAAGUGCUUUGAAUACUGCCUUACUCGAGUUCGUGAGAGGAAAGCGGAAUUCCAGGUGUAGCGGUGAAAUGCGUAGAUAUCUGGAGGAACACCGGUGGCGAAAGCGGCUUUCUGGCGCGAUACUGACGCUGAGGCUCGAAAGCGUGGGGAGCGAACG
RNAcentral lists this ribosomal RNA (427 nucleotides) under uncultured prokaryote. RNAcentral describes it as "bacterial SSU rRNA". It matches the Rfam family "Bacterial small subunit ribosomal RNA", at positions 355 to 774 of the family's 1533-position model. The record is from RNAcentral.